Molecule: ribosomal RNA, 326 nt
Filed under: uncultured Sphingomonas sp.
Lineage: Bacteria; Pseudomonadati; Pseudomonadota; Alphaproteobacteria; Sphingomonadales; Sphingomonadaceae
Description: bacterial SSU rRNA
Rfam family: Bacterial small subunit ribosomal RNA
Source: RNAcentral
CACCAAGGCGACGAUCCUUAGCUGGUCUGAGAGGAUGAUCAGCCACACUGGGACUGAGACACGGCCCAGACUCCUACGGGAGGCAGCAGUAGGGAAUAUUGGACAAUGGGGGAAACCCUGAUCCAGCAAUGCCGCGUGAGUGAUGAAGGCCUUAGGGUUGUAAAGCUCUUUUACCCGGGAUGAUAAUGACAGUACCGGGAGAAUAAGCUCCGGCUAACUCCGUGCCAGCAGCCGCGGUAAUACGGAGGGAGCUAGCGUUGUUCGGAAUUACUGGGCGUAAAGCGCACGUAGGCGGCUAUUCAAGUCAGAGGUGAAAGCCCGGGGCU